RNAcentral lists this ribosomal RNA (254 nucleotides) under uncultured bacterium. RNAcentral's name for it is "partial 16S ribosomal RNA". It matches the Rfam family "Bacterial small subunit ribosomal RNA", at positions 524 to 776 of the family's 1533-position model. The record is from RNAcentral.
UACGGGGGGGGCAAGCGUUGUUCGGAAUUACUGGGCGUAAAGGGCUCGUAGGCGGCCAACUAAGUCAGACGUGAAAUCCCUCGGCUUAACCGGGGAACUGCGUCUGAUACUGGAUGGCUUGAGAUUGGGAGAGGGAUGCGGAAUUCCGAGGUGUAGCGGUGAAAUGCGUAGAUAUCUGGAGGAACACCGGUGGCGAAGGCGACAUCCUGGACCAACACUGACGCUGAGGAGCGAAAGCCAGGGGAGCAAACGGG